Non-coding RNA from Pelobates cultripes (western spadefoot toad), 276 nucleotides. NCBI's taxonomy places the organism in Eukaryota, Metazoa, Chordata, Amphibia, Anura, Pelobatidae. The record is from the annotation of a GenBank genome assembly.
AAACUUUAUACUCCCCAACCGAUGUCAGCUGGCAGUGGGGACUGCAUGCGCAGCAAGUGCCACUCUCAUAUAAUGCUUUUCAAUCGGGUUUUGGGUUCCAUGGUUACUGCACCCAGACCACUACAAAGAGCUUAAGUGGUCUGGGUGCCUGUAGUGUCCCUUUAAGGUAAUGCUAAUGUGUGUUGGAAAAUUUUGCAUGUUAUGUAUGAAUGUGGUGGUAUGUAUAUGUUGGCUUUCGGUGGUGUAAAUAGUGUUACUGUCUAUGGUAUUGUGGCA